AAGAUUUUAGGUUAAUAAAACUGGAAGUUUUCAAAGCUUUAGAUAAUAAUAGGGUUUAUUAAAUCUUG
This 68-nucleotide transfer RNA is filed under the name Nipponnemertes punctatula. RNAcentral describes it as "tRNA-Trp". The record is from RNAcentral. Lineage: Eukaryota; Metazoa; Nemertea; Enopla; Monostilifera; Cratenemertidae.